This 408-nucleotide ribosomal RNA is filed under the name uncultured bacterium. Its description in RNAcentral is "bacterial SSU rRNA". It matches the Rfam family "Bacterial small subunit ribosomal RNA", at positions 94 to 518 of the family's 1533-position model. The record is from RNAcentral.
AGUGGCGGACGGGUGAGUAACGCGUGGGUAACCUGCCUCAGUACAGGGGAUACAGUUAGAAAUGACUGCUAAGACCGCAUAAUAUAGCGAAACCGCAUGAUUUUGCUAUCAAAUAUUUAUAGGUAUGAGAUGGGCCCGCGUCUGAUUAGCUAGGUUGGUGGGGUAAAAGCCUACCAAGGCGACGAUCAGUAGCCGGCUUGAGAGAGUGACCGGCCACAUUGGGACUGAGACACGGCCCAAACUCCUACGGGAGGCAGCAGUGGGGAAUAUUGGACAAUGGGGGAAACCCUGAUCCAGCGACGCCCGCGUGAGUGAAGAAGUAUUUCGGUAUGUAAAGCUCUAUCAAGCAGGGAAGAUAAUGACAGUACCUGACUAAGAAGCCCCGGCUAACUACGUGCCAGCAGCAGC